This 285-nucleotide ribosomal RNA is filed under the name uncultured Burkholderiales bacterium. Its description in RNAcentral is "partial 16S ribosomal RNA". It matches the Rfam family "Bacterial small subunit ribosomal RNA", at positions 505 to 789 of the family's 1533-position model. Lineage: Bacteria; Pseudomonadati; Pseudomonadota; Betaproteobacteria; Burkholderiales. The record is from RNAcentral.
GUGCCAGCAGCCGCGGUAAUACGUAGGUGGCAAGCGUUAUCCGGAAUUACUGGGCGUAAAGCGUGCGCAGGCGGUUAUAUAAGGCAGUUGCGAAAUCCCCGGGCUUAACCUGGGAAUGGCGCUUGUGACUGCACGACUGGAGUGCGGCAGAGGGGGAUGGAAUUCCGCGUGUAGCAGUGAAAUGCGUAGAUAUGCGGAGGAACACCGAUGGCGAAGGCAGUCCCCUGGGCCUGCACUGACGCUCAUGCACGAAAGCGUGGGGAGCAAACAGGAUUAGAUACCCUG